RNAcentral lists this ribosomal RNA (465 nucleotides) under uncultured bacterium. Its description in RNAcentral is "partial 16S ribosomal RNA". It matches the Rfam family "Bacterial small subunit ribosomal RNA", at positions 339 to 795 of the family's 1533-position model. The record is from RNAcentral.
CUACGGGGCGCACCAGUGGGGAAUAUUGGACAAUGGGGGAAACCCUGAUCCAGCAAUGCCGCGUGUGUGAAGAAGGCCUGCGGGUUGUAAAGCACUUUCGGUUGGGAGGACUGCUUCUAGCACUAAUAUUGUUGGAAGUUGACGUUACCUUCAGAAGAAGCACCGGCUAACUCCGUGCCAGCAGCCGCGGUAAUACGGAGGGUGCAGGCGUUAAUCGGAAUUACUGGGCGUAAAGCGCGCGUAGGCGGCUAGAUCAGUCGGGUGUAAAAGCCCCGGGCUUAACCUGGGAACUGCAUCCGAUACUGUCUAGCUUGAGUACAGGAGAGGGGAGUGGAAUUCCACAUGUAGCGGUGAAAUGCGUAGAUAUGUGGAGGAACACCAAUGGCGAAGGCAGCUCUCUGGCCUGAUACUGACGCUGAGGUGCGAAAGCGUGGGGAGCAAACAGGAUUAGAUACCCGUGUAGUC